AGGAGGAGUACUUAAGGCUGCCAGCACUUCGAUGCCAGAGUGUUUUGCCACCAGUGGUACAAACUCGAGCCACACUCUAAGUUUGUGCUUCGUUCUUCAACCUCGUUUAAUUUUGUUUUUUGCUCCUCUGCAGAUUUUGAAAGCCUAAGCUUUGGAUCUAUGUCACUGAGUUUCUGACUACGUUUCUGGAAGUUAUUCUGGAUGAUAAAGCCCAUCUACGUUCUGUGGAUUCCUAUCAUGUCAUCUGCCUUCGUUUGGAUUUGCAUCAAGCUGGCAGUUUCCUGCUCUCUUCGUCUCCUGAGCCAAGCCACAAGCGUACCCUGUCCACCCUCCAGCGCAAGCCACCGCACAUCGAACUAAUUCCUUUGUUCUGAGCUCACACAGAACAGCAACAAGUGAACUCUCUACGGAUAUCCCUGCUUAAGACCUGGAUCCUGAAUCUCAUUCCCCCUGGCGACCUGACCACCAUUACUCGUGAGAUUUUCGUCCGUUUCGUUCCUGAUUUCAUCAUCAAUAAAAGUCUUUAUUUUACUUCCUCCUCCUGAGUGUUCUCUGUAUGUGGGUCAGAGCUAUUUUGAAUACAAUGACAGGUAUCUGUGACUCUGGGAUCCGUGGGGGAAGCCUGACGUCGAGCGAAGCACCGCUGCACA
This is a long non-coding RNA of Girardinichthys multiradiatus, 650 nucleotides long. RefSeq lists it as uncharacterized. NCBI's taxonomy places the organism in Eukaryota, Metazoa, Chordata, Actinopteri, Cyprinodontiformes, Goodeidae. The record is from RefSeq and is a predicted model, not a curated record. The transcript is spliced from 3 exons.